RNAcentral lists this ribosomal RNA (794 nucleotides) under uncultured bacterium. Its description in RNAcentral is "bacterial SSU rRNA". It matches the Rfam family "Bacterial small subunit ribosomal RNA", at positions 54 to 848 of the family's 1533-position model. The record is from RNAcentral.
CAUGCAGUCGAACGAGAAUCUACUGAAAGAGUUUUCGGACAAUGGAAGUAGAGGAAAGUGGCGGACGGGUGAGUAACGCGUGAGGAACCUGCCUUGAAGAGGGGGACAACAGUUGGAAACGACUGCUAAUACCGCAUGAAGCAUAGGGGUCGCAUGAUCUUUAUGCCAAAGAUUUAUCGCUUCAAGAUGGCCUCGCGUCUGAUUAGCUAGUUGGCGGGGUAACGGCCCACCAAGGCGACGAUCAGUAGCCGGACUGAGAGGUUGAACGGCCACAUUGGGACUGAGAUACGGCCCAGACUCCUACGGGAGGCAGCAGUGGGGAAUAUUGGGCAAUGGGCGCAAGCCUGACCCAGCAACGCCGCGUGAAGGAAGAAGGCUUUCGGGUUGUAAACUUCUUUUAAGAGGGAAGAGCAGAAGACGGUACCUCUAGAAUAAGCCACGGCUAACUACGUGCCAGCAGCCGCGGUAAUACGUAGGUGGCAAGCGUUGUCCGGAUUUACUGGGUGUAAAGGGCGUGCAGCCGGGUCUGCAAGUCAGAUGUGAAAUCCAUGGGCUCAACCCAUGAACUGCAUUUGAAACUGUAGAUCUUGAGUGUCGGAGGGGCAAUCGGAAUUCCUAGUGUAGCGGUGAAAUGCGUAGAUAUUAGGAGGAACACCAGUGGCGAAGGCGGAUUGCUGGACGAUAACUGACGGUGAGGCGCGAAAGUGUGGGGAGCAAACAGGAUUAGAUACCCUGGUAGUCCACACUGUAAACGAUGAAUACUAGGUGUGCGGGGACUGACCCCCUGCGUGCCG